GUCCGCCUAGCUCAAUCGGAUAGAGCGUCAGACUCUGGUUACGGCGGUCUGAAGGCUGCGAGUUCGACCCUCGGCUUGGGCU
Non-coding RNA from Gymnopus androsaceus JB14, 82 nucleotides. The record is from the annotation of a GenBank genome assembly. Lineage: Eukaryota; Fungi; Basidiomycota; Agaricomycetes; Agaricales; Omphalotaceae.